This 543-nucleotide long non-coding RNA is filed under the name Vulpes vulpes (red fox). RNAcentral describes it as "lncRNA (ENSVVUG00000000622.1)". The record is from RNAcentral. Lineage: Eukaryota; Metazoa; Chordata; Mammalia; Carnivora; Canidae.
CAGAAUUGUAUGUAAUUUUUACUGCAAGUAUUAAAACAAGGGAACAUUCAUAUGCAUAUGUAGAUGAAUCUUUAGAGAUGUUUCACAAAAAUUGAUAACCGAAAUAUUUAUACAAUAUUACCUUUUUUGUGUUGUAGUUUUUCAAUCAAGAGAUAAUGGUCUUGCAAAAGUGCUGAGAUGUGAUGUCUGAGAUGCUGUGCAGGUGGAGAAAAGUGGUAUAAUUGCUUUACUCAGCAUGAAACCUUCCAACAUUAUGCCUGGAGGAUAUGAUUUUGAACCAAAUUGGGGACGUAACAAUCAGGAGGAGGUAAAUAGAAGGGGAAAGUCUGUAUCUUAUGUUGACUUUCAUUUAAUCACUGUUUACAGCACAAAACUGUCACACUUAAUAACCCCUGAUUUCCUGGAUCUCCAAAUAAUAAACCUCAUGUUUCUGCCAGUUUGUAGGUAUAGUCAAUUGAUACUAAGUUGGAAAGGGGAUCUGAAGCCUAAUAACUUUUCAUAUAACUUUAAUAAAUCUUCCUGUUUUCUGCUUCAUUUACAAAC